GAGCUCACCUGUGACCGCCCAGCUCCAGACAAUCGACUUGCCUCCAGCUACGCCCUCUGAGACAGCAGACCACUACCUGCUGUGUCCAUCAAGCACUGUGCCGACAGGGCAAUCUUGUGACUAUUGUGGGAGGGACAUUUCAAUCACAUGUGAAACACCCCGUUUGGGGGUAUAUAACCACUCUGGCACCCCACUUCUUGGGUGCCCUUUCUUCCUUCUGGAAGAAAGGCCCCGGGCCAUGGUUCCUCAUAAAGCUUUGUUUAAUUUUCUCUUGCUAUUCUGUCUCAUGUGAAUUUAAUUCGUUCUCCAGCCAGACGAACCCCUAUUUGGGGAGAGGAAAUGUCCUCCUCCCCUACAGUUUUGGCGUAGUUGGCAGGCUGAAAUUUCCCUGGCUGGACACUGCUUGCUCCUAGACUGCUGCGGCUGAGAGAUCCCAGACCCCUGACGAGAGCCGGCAAGAGAUCUCAGAAGUGCUCCAGACACCCGUGGGAAACUCCAAAAGUUGGCGAUCCGUCCUGCUACCAGUCCCGCACAGCUACGAGUGGCUGCACGGAGGGUGCUCCAUAACCGACUUGAAGCUGAGGAUGCAAAGGAAGACAAGAUGAUGAAAAGGCAGGCCGCCCUGCUCGCUGUGGCCCGCCAGUCUCCUCAAGGUUGGAUGACUACCGCAGCAUGGCUUUUGCAGAUCGGUGCCAUGUCCACACCCGGGUUCCGAACCGGUGAACCCCAGGCUGCCAAGAAGCAGAAUGGGCAAACUUAACUGCUGCACCACCCAGCGGGCCCCCCCUAACCACUUUCUCUGUGCUUUAUUUUCACUCCUGCCUUGACUGGUGCUGUCCAAUAGUAGCAUUAACACUCUAUAACAUGAAAUCAAAACUUUCUAGUGGC
RNAcentral lists this long non-coding RNA (888 nucleotides) under Equus asinus (donkey). RNAcentral's name for it is "lncRNA (ENSEASG00005029539.1)". Lineage: Eukaryota; Metazoa; Chordata; Mammalia; Perissodactyla; Equidae. The record is from RNAcentral.